ACGGGUGGCGUCUAGUGAAUGAGUUCAAGUACGAGUCUAAGUGUAAAAGAAAGUGAAUGAGAAUGAGAAUGAAUAAGUGAAAGUGAAUAAGGAUGUGAAAGGAUAAGUGAAUGUAUAAGUGAAUAACGUUAAGGUUAAGCAUGGGUUGGGAAAUGAUAUAGAGUCUAGAGGGAGUACGUGGGGUAGUAGUUCUAUGCUAGGCAUCCAUAGGA
RNAcentral lists this long non-coding RNA (212 nucleotides) under Brassica napus (rape). RNAcentral's name for it is "long non-coding RNA (BNAP_LNC019963)". Lineage: Eukaryota; Viridiplantae; Streptophyta; Magnoliopsida; Brassicales; Brassicaceae. The record is from RNAcentral.